RNAcentral lists this ribosomal RNA (507 nucleotides) under Triticum aestivum (bread wheat). Its description in RNAcentral is "partial small subunit ribosomal RNA". Lineage: Eukaryota; Viridiplantae; Streptophyta; Magnoliopsida; Poales; Poaceae. The record is from RNAcentral.
AUGCGAAUCGGAGACUGCAAGGGGACUCGACUUCCGCCGUCUGCUCCGCCACGCCCCAAAAGCCUCGCCGGCACGAGCGAACAGGCUCCGCUGCUUGCCGUCGGAGGCGUAGUAGCGGUACGUGCGGGCGCCGAGCAAGAAGACGGCGAGUGCGCAGAGCAUCACGACGCAGGGGAUGCCGAAGCCGAGGCCCCAGCCGAUGUUGUCCUGGAUGUAGCUGAGGAACACGAGCGUGACGGCGGUGCCGGCGCAUAUGCCGAAGUACCACCAGUUGAAGAAGGAGCUCCGGGAGACGGCCUCCCGCGGGUGGCUCGCGUCGAACUGGUCGGCGCCGAAGGCCUGGACGCACGGCUUGUGCCCGCCCUGCGCCAGGGCCACCAGGUAGAGGGAGGUGUAGAACGCGGCCAUCUGCAGACCGGACGGCGGCGGGCAGGGCGUGCCGCCGUCGGUGUUACUGCAUUUGUGAUUGCCGGGGGAGAGCAAUGUCGAGAGAGCCAGCAUUCCUAA